This is a long non-coding RNA of Dreissena polymorpha, 4280 nucleotides long. RefSeq lists it as uncharacterized. NCBI's taxonomy places the organism in Eukaryota, Metazoa, Mollusca, Bivalvia, Myida, Dreissenidae. The record is from RefSeq and is a predicted model, not a curated record. The transcript has 3 exons.
GUGUUAAGCUAUAAAUCUUUCAUUUAGUAUUAUAACAACAGAAAAUCAAAAGCUGUUUAUAAUAAAUAAGUUAUUCUCUUACACACAUAUCAAACUGUUAUUUUCUUUAAUACAUGUGUUUGAUUUAUUACAGAUGUUAGAUCAACAAUCAACAAUGUCAAAGGUGUGGGUUUAGAAUUUCAAAAAAAGAUGCUAAUAUGGAACUGCCAAACAAUCUUAUCAGCACCAAACCUGCUGCAGCUGCAUUGGAAAGCAAUACCUGCCUGAUAUGCUGCCAAUCACUUGCAGAUGGCCAAGAUCAUGUAAAGUUACGCCAGAAAGGGAGUGAUAGCAUAAAUGCUGCCAGCGAAGUUCGCUUGGACAAUAUUACUUCCCUACCCGGACAGACAGUUCAUGUACAUUGUCGGAAAGAUUACUGUAACCCAAUUCGAAUCAAGCUAUCCUUAAAUAAAAAGUCAACACAGACUGUAUUAUCUCCAUCAUUACGAUCUAACACUGAACGAUUUAACUUCAGUACAAAUUGUCUAUUUUGUGCUCAACGUGCCAAAUGUGUUGGAAGAAAACGAGGCUAUAAUGUAUACUCUGUUAGAACAGUUGAAUUUAAAAAUAACAUAGUACAAAUAUGUAUUGAUAGGAAUGACACAUGGGGUUCAGAUGUUAAAAGCAGAUUGGAAACUAUACAUGACUCUAAUGAUCUUAUGUCUUCACAGGAAAAUAUUGACUACAUUCCGGAUAGUCUAAAAACAUUUCUUAGAGAAAUUUUCUGCGAGAAAAAAGCAGAUGUUAAGAUUGCCUCUAUUGGACAGACCAUUAUCCAAGCAGCAAGACCAAAGGUGUUGAUUCCUCCACUACAGAUUGGCUUAGCAGUACAAAUGCAUCACCACUUUGCAUCAAAGUUUUUAAUUGAUAUGUUGAAUAAGCUAGGAUUUUGUAGUUCAUAUUCAGAGGUUCAACGGUUUUAGACAAGUGCAGCAGUUUCACAAGGCAUUGAUUUGCCUAUUCUAAAAGAUGGCCAAUUUUGCCAGUUCGUAGCGGACAACGUGGAUCAUAAUAUACGAACACUGGAUGGCAACAAUACUUUUCACGGCAUGGGUAUAAUUGCUUGUUACACGGCCGAAACAAAAGUGUCAAAAACUGUUCCAAGAAUUUCCGUUUCAACAGAUGACCUAGUGGCACUUGGUAAGAUUCAAGUGAAAUUUUACAAAAAGGAGAAUAGUUUUAUGAUACAUGAAACAUUAAAAGUAUUACCUGACUUCAGAUAUGAAGAUCGUACAAAAAACAUUGACCUGCUUUCGAAGUGCUUAUGGCCCUUGAAACAAAGGAAACAAGGAUGGUCUGGAAUCAUGCAAAUGGUGCAACAGGGCAAUUACCCAGGAAAAUCACCAAUCUUCUUUCUUCCCAUGAUCGAUAUCAAUGCCAGCGACGUUUCCUGUAUUUAUUCAACACUACACUUUGUGUGUACACAAGCCAGGAGACACAAUACUGUGCCAGUGGUUACAUUUGACCAACCACUCUAUUGGAAGGCUUUGACCAUGGUUAUCAAUGAAGGAUCUACAAGCGAACUCAAAUCUAUAGUUCUUAGAUUGGGUGGAUUCCACACUAUACUGAGUUUUCUAGGAUGUAUCGGACAAUUAAUGGCAGGAUCAGGACUAUCGGAAUUGCUUGAAACUAUUUAUGCUCCAAUGCCGUGACCCAUAUGUUAACUGGUAAGGCUGUUUCCAGAGCAACCCGGGCUCAUUUCCUUCUUGACGAAGUCUUAAAUGCCAUAUUUACGGAAAAAAACUUUCACUUUCUGCAAUAGAAACCAAUGAGCUUGAACUCAAUGGUGAUAGUGUUAGCAAGGCAAGAGACAACGACUUUGCUAUUGCGACUACGAGUACCUUACCAAAAACACAUGCUGAAACUAACACGGUUGGAAACAAUGAAACCUUAUUGGAGGAGAAAUGACAGUAGAAAAUGUUUGUGAAGAAAUGGUUUUCAAAAAGCUUCAGGGAAAACUUGACGAAAACAGAGCAUCUAUGUGUGAAUUUCGUACUUCACAGUUAUGGUUUAUGCAUAUGUCAAUGGAUGAUAUAUUACGAACAUUCAUUAAAGCAGAACGCAUUGGUUGCUGGGAACUACAUCUCCAAACUGUAAAAGAAAUGUUACCUUACCUUGCAGCUGCAGGCCACAACCUGUACUUAAAAUCAGCUUACUUUUACCUUCAAAGCAUGGCUAAACUACUGAUGGAGUAUCCAGACGUUUCCAAACACUUUUCAGAAGGAAAGCACGUAGUUCGUCGAAGCGAACGGUAUUGGGCUGGUCUAUCAACAGAUUUAGUGAUAGAACAGGUUUUAAUGAGAAGUGUCAAGACGACCGGUGGUUUGACACGUGGGCGUGGUUUAACUGAAAAACAGAGAAAUCAGUGGUUGCUUUCGAUGCCAACUUGCAAAGAAUACAACAACGCAAUGCAGGAAUUUGCAAACGUCGCUUAUCACACAAGUGAUCAGCAUGUAGAAAGCAGUCAGUCGAGAAUGGACAGAGAUCAAAAGGACAAACUAAAACUACCAUUUCCUACAGGAUAAACUCCAUUCGUUAACGAUUAUGCCCUUCGCAACAUUGAAACAGGUUUAACAGCCGAUCUUCAUGUAAAUGUUGACACUGCAAAGGAAGUGGGUCAAACUGUGUUAGACAAGAUGCUUCAUAAAACCGUUUUGGAGUACAGUUUCAAGCGUACAAGUCAAGCAGUGACACUCAGCUCAAAGUCAAAAGUGAAAGUAAACGGAGAAACUGUUCACAUUGACCCACAGUUACUAUUUCAGCGUUUGACAGCUGCAGCCGAUAGAUUAUAUGACAGCCAGGAGGAAAUAUUCAAGUACGAAUUGUGUAGUUUUCCAUCGUCGUUAUUCGAGUCGUCUGGACUUUUAAAACAAGCUGACAAACCGUCAUUGGCUAAUGCAAUUUUGGCGUUGGGCGAUUGUUUAUUCUCGAAAAGCUAGAUGAUUCGGUACACUAUGUCCAUGAUGGUGGUUCUUUACUUAACCAUUUGACCUGGAAAUAUGGGGAUACAUUUGUGGACAUAUGUGAGACAUACGUGGGUUACGUCGUCAGAAAGGGUUCAUCUUCAACAGUGGUAUUUGAUGUUAUUCUAAUGGUCCUUCUACUAAAGACUGUGCUCAUAGUAAACGCAGUAGAGGACUAGCUAGUACAAAGGUACAUUUUACAAGGGAAACACCAUUCAGGUCCAAAAAAGAACAGUUUUUGUUAAAUACUGAGAAUAAACAGUAUUUCGUAGAUAUGCUAAGCAAAUGUCUACAAGAAAGAGGUUGUCCUACAAUACAUGCUGUGAGUGAUGCUGAUGUGCUGAUAUUCAAAACAGCUGUAGCAAGUUCUUCAAGUAAAAAAACUGUUGUUCUUGGGGAAGACACAGAUCUUCUUGUUUUACUUUGUUACCACGCGGAUGUGUCUGCAAACAAAAUAUAUUUUAUAUCGGGAAGAAAUCUAAAAAACGCUAAAUUGGUCAAACAGUGGGAUGUAACCCGUACAAGAAAUUUACUUGGCUUGAAUAUAUGUAGAAUGCUUCCUGUUAUCCAUGCACUAACUGGUUGUGAUACAUCUAAGAUGUCUGGGGUUGGCAAAGCAGCAACAUUGAACAAAUUUAUUUUCAAUGCCUUUAUUCAAAAACAAUCAAAAGUUUUUCUAGACAACACAGCGAUUCAAGAUGUAUCUGCCGCUGGUGAAAAAUUGAUAAUAUGCUUAUACGGUGGGGCAUCGCAUGAACAGCUCAACACUCUCCGAUAUAGGAUAUUUGUCAGCAAAGUUAUGACAAGUACAAAGUAUGUAGCUGUUAACACUUUACCACCCACAUGCUCCUCUGCACAUUACCAUAGUUUAAGGGUUUACCUUCAAGUUCAUGAAUGGAUUACUAAGGAUAAUAAUUUAAAUCCACUUGAAUGGGGUUGGAAGUCUGAUAGCGGAUUACUAAUGCCAGUCCAAACAAACAUGUCCCCUGCACCAGACGAUUUGUUGAAAAUUAUCAGAUGCUGCUGUAAGACCAAUUGUGACUUGAAACGUUGUACUUGUAGACGACAUGGUCUUGACUGUUCAUCGGGAUGUGGGGAAUGUCGGGAAAUAAGCUGUACCAAUGCACAAACUGUGGAAGAACAAGACUUGAUGGAAGACAGUGUAUAAGUUAGUUACGGACAUGUUCACACCCAAGUUUACUUACUAUUGAAUUUAGUAUGAGAAAAAAAGCAUUACAAUUAUUGAUGUUUUCCCCAAAAUGUUACAUUUAGCAUUAA